Molecule: non-coding RNA, 73 nt
Organism: Phrynosoma platyrhinos (Desert horned lizard)
Lineage: Eukaryota; Metazoa; Chordata; Lepidosauria; Squamata; Phrynosomatidae
Source: the annotation of a GenBank genome assembly
GUCAGCAUGGCAUAGUGGUACAGAUGUUGGAUUAGGGCUCCAAGAGACCAGGAUUCAAAUCCCUGCUCUGUCA